Peromyscus californicus insignis is the source of this 2749-nucleotide long non-coding RNA. RefSeq lists it as uncharacterized. NCBI's taxonomy places the organism in Eukaryota, Metazoa, Chordata, Mammalia, Rodentia, Cricetidae. The record is from RefSeq and is a predicted model, not a curated record. The transcript is spliced from 9 exons.
GAGAGAGAGAGAGAGAGAGAGAGAGAGAGAGAGAGAGAGAGAGAGAGAGAUUGAGAUUGGAGAAAAAACUUUUCCGAACUUCGAAUUCCGCCUUCAGUUGCAGACUCGAGAGUCACCGUGAUCAGUUCUCGCUGUGUGGCCCUGCUUCAUAGAGGACUCCCACAAAGGGCCUGGAUGACGCAGCACAACAAUGAGGAGGUCAAGUAAGACACCGUAGAAAGGUUGGCUCUAGCUGAGAGUUACUUCUGGUUCCUGAAUUCUGACUCUGUCUCCCAAGGUUAAGCGCUCUACCGCGGAGUUACAGACUCGGCCCAGAUUUUGCAAAUUUACAACUCAAAAGACACGACGUAAAACUGCUGUAACACAUGAGAAUGAAAGAGCACAAUGAUACAAGAUUGAAAAGGUGAUGAAACCUUUCAAACCUCCAGGCUUUUGUUGAAAGAGAUUAAUAGCGACUCCUCACGUUGGAACGGCAAUAAAAUUGGGAAGAGAUCAUGGGCAUCCGAAAUCCUAUAUGCUGAGCAACGGUCACACAAGACUUUGCUCUGAUUGCAUAGGCAUUAGCAAGAAAUGCCAGCGGACCAAGUGGCCUCAGGAGAGGUACCCACUCUCCUGACACUUAAGGUGAUGGGUCACUCUCAUCCCAGUGACUGACGCCAACAUCCCUCUUCUGUGGUCUCCGUUACCUAGAGGCGCUCCUCCGACAGAUGGGAGGAGACAAAGGACAAAGAUGGGAGAACUUGUAAACAAGGAAGAAAAGGCUUUUGUUCCAGGUUCCUGCCUUCGCCUCCCUUGAUGAAGGAAUGUAAGAUACAAGAUGAAAUAAACUCUCACCUCCCCAUGUCGCUUUUGGUCAUGACAUUUAUCACAGCAACAGAAAUGCGAACUGGAGCAACUUAUAAAUGAGAUGUUCAUGCUGGGCGGUGGUGGCGCACGCCUUUAAUCCCAGCACUUGGGAGUCAGAGCCAAGUGGAUCUCUAAAAUUCCUAUUUACCUCCCAAUCUCCAUUCUGAGUUCCGCUCUCUUAAGCGUUAGUGUCGCAGGUAAGUGCCAAGCCAAGGUGACUAAGUGGAUGUCAGGCCAGUUGCAGAAACAGAGGGAAGACUUAACUAAUGGCACAGGUCUUCUGAGUCAAUGGACCCCGUCUCUUCUGAUUUCAUUAUCAAUUCACCACAGGAACCUGACAGAGUCAGAUGUUAAGUCCAAUUUAAAAGCUGAAAGACAAAAAGAUGGGGGAAAGAUCCAAUCUCAGAGUCAGGUAAAAACAUCAUAAUUCAGAGUAAAUCUUUAUUAUUGAUUUAUAGCCACAGACUGUUGUCCAAAGGUUUCCUCUUUAAAUUAAGAAUACUAAUGAUUUUGCACCCUGAAAUAAUCCAAGAGCUGUAGAUAUUAGAAAAAGGGAUUGAAUGUGUUCUUCAACCGGAAAGUGCCAAUAAAUGGAUAUUGGGUCUGUUUCCUCAGCAACUGGCCAGCGAUGUGAGAAUCCCUGGUUUCAGGGAGCUGAGAUUUGUGAUAAAGCAGCCUGUUUGCUGAGGCUCCUGUAACCUCCAACACAGUGACUUUCUGAUAAACAGAUAGACUGAGAAUACAAGUUCUGCCUAAUUAGUUUGGAGACUAGAAGAGGCAACACAGACCCCAUGCGAGGCAUGCUGGGAAACCUAGACCUGGGCAAAGUGCUGAUCCUUUCUAGAGAAAACUAGUAGUUGCCAGGAAACCAAGAAGCCCCCCCCCCCCCACCCCUACCCCAUCCCGGGAAUACCAAAUAAAUGUUACUAGGAAAUUGCUAUAGAGUAGUUUUACUACUGAGUAUUUUAAAUUACCUUGUGCUAUGGUGUAUGUGUGUAUGCGGCUCAGAAAUCACUUCUGUGAUAUCAUAGCAUGGAAGGGGGUCUUUCCACCAUUAAGCAAGUAGUUCUGUAGCUGCAGAUCCCCCGCUGGGUGUCCUCUAAUGCAAUUAAGUUCUGGCACUGUGUACCUGGGGACAGCCUCAGAUCCCCAUCUGCCAAACUGCCCCCUACCUUGAGGUACCAGGCACUGCUGUUUUUAUGUGGACAGCUGACGGGCUGUACCUGGGAGUUCCCACAAUUCCCUCCAAGAGUAGUUCAAAGAAUGGAGCGAAAGACAUUUACUAGUUUACUCUACAGAGCACAGAACGUUUUUAUAAAGAGACACACAGGGUGAGGAGUGAGAGGAAGGCUACAGAAAGUCUGUCUCCUUUGGGACUCCCCCUACCCGAGCACAGCUUUUACCAGAGCGCAGUUCCUCAUAGGUGUUCAAGCGCUGGGCUUCAGCUGUGCCUGAAGCAUAACCAGGCUGAAAUGAACCUGGCCAAAAGGGUUGUGGUCUUGUGCAAACAGACCUAACUAAAACCUCAGAAAGGCCUGUCCGUCCAGAUUCUUGCAGGCCUUCUGUGUUGCAUUCCUUCCUUGUGGGGCACGGGCCAAGGCCUGCUUCUGAGAUAAAGGUCUUAUCUCAGAGGAUUGGUGGCCAUCUCCUAGGCAGCCAGGCAGGAACUCCAAGAUAGAAUAGGUGAAGGAAGAUUUGAGCUUUGAUAACCUGUCCCGGAGAAGAGAAGAUUUAGCCCGUAUGGCCUGCCUUGCUAAGGGAGAGUAAAGUCAAGAACUAUGGACAAAAACAAGGACAGCAAAAUAAUGCAGAGUGUAAUAUCACAGUUCCUCGGGGCUCGUAGGGGGAGCGUUCCCUGCAUAUAUGACAUAUGGGAGGAUUUGUUCAGUGACUUACGCGGAGU